RNA transcript from Platichthys flesus (European flounder), 2379 nucleotides. It is a transcript of the gene named protein tyrosine phosphatase non-receptor type 2b, with no coding region annotated. The record is from RefSeq and is a predicted model, not a curated record. Lineage: Eukaryota; Metazoa; Chordata; Actinopteri; Pleuronectiformes; Pleuronectidae. The transcript is spliced from 11 exons.
CGUGGCCUGCUCGGUCGCCUCUUCGGUCGCUAGCAGAGGGAAGCGUCGCCUCUUCGACCCGAAAAAGCUCCGGAGCGCUGCGGGAAAGUAAUGAGGUAGAAAGCCGGACAGAUAACUACACCAGCCCCGCGUGGAAAACACCGACAGCCCCGCCGCGAACAUGGACCAGCAGUUCGAGGACAUAGACUCCGAGGGCCGGUGGCAGAAACUCUACUUAGAAAUCAGGAAUCAGUCCCACGAGUGCGCCUACAAGGUGGCGAAGCAUCCAGAGAAUCGCAACCGGAACAGAUACAGAGAUGUCAGUCCAUUCGAUCACAGUCGGGUGAAGCUGGAGAACACAGAGAAUGACUACAUCAACGCAAGCCUGGUGCUGAUGGAGGAGGCCCAGCGAAGUUACAUAUUGACCCAGGGCCCACUCAGAAACACUUGUGGCCAUUUUUGGCUCAUGAUCUGGGAGCAGAAGUCGAAGGCGAUCAUCAUGCUCAACAGGGUCAUAGAGAAAGGCUCAGAAAAGUGUGCUCAGUACUGGCCCACUUCUGAGGAGAGGGAGAUGGCCUUCAGAGACACACGCUUCGUGGUCACGCUGUUGUCAGAGGACACCAAGUCUUACUACACCACCAGAGUGUUGGAGCUGCAGAAUAUUAAUACGGGGGAGAAGAGAGAGAUCUUCCACUUUCAUUACACCACAUGGCCUGAUUUCGGUGUCCCAGAAUCCCCGGCGUCCUUCCUAAACUUCCUGUUCAAGGUGCGGGAGUCAAGAGCGCUGGGUGCCGACCACGGGCCGGCUGUGGUGCACUGCAGCGCCGGAAUCGGACGGUCAGGGACGUUUUCAUUAGUGGACACAUCUCUGGUGCUGAUGGACAAGAGGAAAGACUCGUCAUCAGUGGACAUCAAAAGCAUCCUGUUGGACAUGAGGAAGUACCGCAUGGGCCUGAUCCAGACCCCUGACCAGCUACGCUUCUCCUACAUGGCUGUGAUUGAGGGAGCCAAGUGCAUAAUGGGAGACUCCUCCGUACAGAACCGAUGGCGUGAGUUGUCCAGAGAAGACCAGGAGCCGUCGCCAGAGUCUCGUCUCUCCGCUCAGCCUCCAGCAAAAUGUCCGACGGAGCGAGUCAACGGCAGCCAACGAGGGGGUCAGCUGGAGGACGGAGGAGACUACAGGCAGGACGCCAAAGUACCUGCACAGUCCCCCUGCAAGGAACAGGAGCUGGACGGCAGCACAACACACAAGCGACGCAGAGAAGACAGCAUCUCUAAAUCAGAAACGGCAAAGACACCCACAAGCAAGCCCAGGACAAAUGAGUCGGAGAAGAAGAGAAAAAGUUUGGGCUGCAUUUGCUGCACAUGACAAGAGCAGGCCUGUCCAGUGGGGGGCAGCGUAUCUUUACCCCCUUCUGAGACAGCAACAACAACCACGAGGAGCACAUUUAGAGGAGGAAGUUUGCCCACAGCUUUUAAAAAGAACUCCCACUCUUGUACGUUGAGGGCGAAGACCAGUGACUGCUAACCACCUCCACCUGGGGCCACGCGACUACAGCUCUGGCAGCAAAGCCACCAUCGGCAGGGAACUCCAGCUCCCUCCUCUGAAGGAGCUCUGUCCUCCCCUUCCUCGGCUCCAAACCACUCUUCCUCAUCUCCACCUCAACAGCCAGCUCUCCUCUCUGUUUUUUCCAUCGCUUCCUUUCGUGUGUCAGCCCAACAGCAUUAUUCCACAUCCUCCUCACAGCUUUCCCAUAACUACUACUCCUCCUCCUCCUCUCUGAACUGUUUACAGCAGACACUUUAACAUUCUUUGAAGAGCGCUCAUUUAAAAAAGACACCAGCUAUGCCCCCCCCCCCCCCCGCAGCCCACAACUCGACCGCCAUCCAUGCGCCAGGAGUCAGGAAAUCGUUACUUUUGCUUUAAUAUUUUUAUUUACAGCUUUGUCUCUUGCUAUCUUAAGCUUAUUUGCAAUGACAACAUUAGGACAGACAAUAGCAGUAGCUAUGCAUUGCUAGUUCGUAAUGGUGUUCAUAUGAGUAUUUUUUAGUAAAACCUUUUUCAGAGACAAAAAUGAUAAAUGUUCUAUUUUUUAUAAGAGAUUACUUGAAGUUUUUCACAGUGAUGGGGGGGGGGGGGGGGGACAAACAACAAGCUCUGCCGCCUCCGCCCACAUGACAAUUCAGUGGCAUGUUAUGUUUUCACGAUGUACAUAGUGUUCUUUUUAAAAGAUGUGUAAAAAAAGACUUAUUUUGUUGCACACGAUGUCACAGAUUUGAAUACAGUAGAAAGAUGAUUUGAUGACUCGUUCUCCUUUUUAAAUGAAUUUGUCUUAAGCUUUUCUCUCUCUUAGAGUAAUCUAAAAAAAAUAAAACUGGUAUCAUCUAGUUUACGUAAAA